ACAGCGGGAGCGAGCCCAGACAGCUUCUAGGAGCAGGAGGAGUUGGUCUCUGUUUUUAACUGUUGUACUCCUGUGGCAAUUAUUGUCCAGAUAACAUAGCUGUCAUCUUUUUGGAUGAGGCCUGGCAUUUCCUUAAGUGGGCACAUUGCAAUAGACUUGUCCGUGAAACGCGGCCAUCCGGAGUCAGGCAGAGCUGUCUAGCUGGCGGAGACUUAAUAGUUUUUUCAGAACUGUGCCGGUCUCACAUUGGGUCAGUGCAGACCCCAUUACGAGAAGAGUUCCCCAACCAAAAGCUGGGAGAGCUUAUACGUGCCCAGCCCUUUUGUGGUGCACAGAUGGAGAGGACCAGCUCUGCCCUCAAGCAGGUGCCUACCUGGCUGGCCAUCUUGCAGCAACUUAAGAGGUCUUUACCUUAGGACCACACGUGUAUCACCUUGCUCGGUCACCUCCUAUUACAGAAGGUGUCGACUCAGAGACUCUGGUCCUGGGUCCCACAGUCCCCCUGGCCACUGGA
This is a long non-coding RNA of Microtus ochrogaster (prairie vole), 514 nucleotides long. RefSeq lists it as uncharacterized. The record is from RefSeq and is a predicted model, not a curated record. Lineage: Eukaryota; Metazoa; Chordata; Mammalia; Rodentia; Cricetidae.